This is a long non-coding RNA of Equus caballus (horse), 551 nucleotides long. RefSeq lists it as uncharacterized. NCBI's taxonomy places the organism in Eukaryota, Metazoa, Chordata, Mammalia, Perissodactyla, Equidae. The record is from RefSeq and is a predicted model, not a curated record.
AGAAUGUGUCCAUUAGACUAACGGGCAGAUGUCCAGUGGCCUUGGCAUUGGCCCGGAGGGAUCGGAUGGCAGGGGAGGUGUGAGCCGGUGGGCUGGGGUCAGAGGCGGCCUCUGCUGAGUCACCAUGACCCUGCCUCUCACCACCCUCUGUGACAUCACACACAUUCUAGCCUCAGUCUCCCAGGGCCCUGUGUCUGGCUGGAGAUCCUGGGAGCCUGCCCAGGCCACGGAGCUGAGUUAAUCCAACUUGGAUGAUGUGCUUUCUACCAAUUUCCUUUUUUGUUACCACCCAGGAUGCUGGCCUUAUUCACCAAUAAUCCCGUUCUCGUUCAAGGAAACCACAGAAUCAGGGAGCAAGCAGCUUCGAUGGCGCUGCCUGGGAAGAAUGGAGAUGACUCUUAGGAUGAUCUUGGAAGUCACCCAAUGAAGACUGCAGCGUCCACCUCAGCCUGAGUCCCUGGAUGACCACACAGAAGAGGGCUCUGACACAACCUGUUCGUGCACCCAGCAUUGUUAAGUGAACAAGAAAUAAACCUGUGUUGGAACUGUUA